This is a non-coding RNA of Hypoxylon sp. NC1633, 74 nucleotides long. Lineage: Eukaryota; Fungi; Ascomycota; Sordariomycetes; Xylariales; Hypoxylaceae. The record is from the annotation of a GenBank genome assembly.
GGUCUCAUGGUCUAGUUGGUUAUGGCGUCUGUCUAACACACAGAAGGUCCCCAGUUCGAACCUGGGUGAGAUCA